ACAUGCACUUGUUGGUCUUGUUAAUAAGCAGAAUCUUUAUCAAUGGGUCGUGUUUCAAGCCUGAGAUCCUGCAUUGUUAGCAAGCUCUUGGUGUCACUGAA
Molecule: microRNA precursor, 101 nt
Filed under: Marmota monax (woodchuck)
Lineage: Eukaryota; Metazoa; Chordata; Mammalia; Rodentia; Sciuridae
Source: RNAcentral